GUGCCAGCCGCCGCGGUAAUACCGGCAGCACGAGUGAUGGCCGCUAUUAUUGGGCCUAAAGCGUCCGUAGCCGGCCGGGCAAGUCCGUCGGGAAAUCCACCCGCUUAACGGGUGGGCGUCCGGCGGAAACUGCACAGCUUGGGACCGGAAGGCUCGAAGGGUACGUUCGGGGUAGGAGUGAAAUCCCAUAAUCCCGCACGGACCACCGAUGGCGAAAGCACUUCGAGAAAACGGAUCCGACAGUGAGGGACGAAAGCCAGGGUCUCGAACCGGAUUAGAUACCCCGGUAGUCC
RNAcentral lists this ribosomal RNA (293 nucleotides) under uncultured bacterium. RNAcentral's name for it is "partial 16S ribosomal RNA". It matches the Rfam family "Archaeal small subunit ribosomal RNA", at positions 455 to 747 of the family's 1478-position model. The record is from RNAcentral.